GAUGAAGAACGUAGCGAAACGCGAUAGGUAAUGUGAAUUGCAGAAUUCCGUGAAUCAUCGAAUCUUUGAACGCACAUUGCGCCCCCUGGUAUUCCGGGGGGCAUGCCUGUCCGAGCGUCAUUGCUGCCCUCAAGCACGGCUUGUGUGUUGGGCUUCCGUCCCUGGCAACGGGGACGGGCCCAAAAGGCAGUGGCGGCACCAUGUCUGGUCCUCGAGCGUAUGGGGCUUUGUCACCCGCUCCCGUAGGUCCAGCUGGCAGCUAGCCUCGCAACCAAUCUUUUUAACCAGGUUGACCUCGGAUCAGGUAGGGAUACCCGCUGAACUUAAGCAUAUCAAUAAGCGGAGGA
This 347-nucleotide unclassified non-coding RNA is filed under the name soil metagenome. Its description in RNAcentral is "partial contains 5.8S ribosomal RNA, internal transcribed spacer 2, and large subunit ribosomal RNA". The stretch from base 1 to 120 matches the Rfam family "5.8S ribosomal RNA", at positions 35 to 154 of the family's 154-position model. The record is from RNAcentral.